AUUGAAUAGUUGUUCUUGAUGUGAUCAUGUAGGAUUGAAGAUCCAACAGAGAUUUCUAUAGAAGGUGGCUUGUGAAUAGGUUUAUGCUCUUUGUUUUGGUUAUAGGCUGUCGUGCAUGGUAGUUGCUUCCAUCCAGGGCUUGAUUCAUGGCUUUAAGCUCACUCAAAUCCUAGCAAUGGGAUGAUUUUCGUAUUUUCUUCAGAAG
Molecule: long non-coding RNA, 205 nt
Organism: Erigeron canadensis
Lineage: Eukaryota; Viridiplantae; Streptophyta; Magnoliopsida; Asterales; Asteraceae
Exons: 4
Source: RefSeq, a predicted model, not a curated record